This is a non-coding RNA of Equus caballus (horse), 6927 nucleotides long. NCBI's taxonomy places the organism in Eukaryota, Metazoa, Chordata, Mammalia, Perissodactyla, Equidae. The record is from RefSeq and is a predicted model, not a curated record.
AAGAAAUAAUUUGGUGGGGGGAAGAGAGCUCAAGUAAAUUUAUUCUAAAAAUGAUAUUGUGAGGUACAGAUUUCCUAAAGCAAGUACCAAUAAUAUAUGUUUAUUUUAUCUAAUUCUCAAAAACAGAUUACAACUACCGAGAAGAAAAUAAUGAAAAAUUAGUAUCUUUACUAUCUUUGAAAUGAGAAAUAGAACUUCAUAAUUUAUAUAUACCUAUAUUCCCAGAAAUUUUUCAUAAUAAAUUCCUAGAUUGUACCUCAUUCUUUCUGAACAUGCCAAAUAUUCAGAAUCCCAUGGAAGUGGGGGAUAGUAUACCUUUAUUUAAAAAUUGAGGACUGAAAAUAAAAAUAAGUGGUUUUCCAGUGUGGCAGCAACUAUUCUAAGGAGAAUGUGAUCAGUGACAAAUGACUGCUUCCCCAGCAGCCAGAACACUAUACUCCUUUCCAGAAUACUUACUACUCUUCUAAUAAUGUGUUUGAGAAUACGACUUCUUUUAAUGCAUUUUCCCUGCCAGAUUGUGAGUUCCUUGAGAACAGAAACUGCUUAACUUGUUCACCACUGCUCUGCCUGCACCUAGAGCAACGAUAAGCUGAUGGCGGAUGUUGGGUGGAUGGUUGGAUGGAUGACGGUCAGAUGGAUGAUGCUGUCCAAGGGGCGAAUGGUUGACCUGCGAGUGACACGCUUACCCAAGAAGCUACUGAGCACACUGGGAUUGGCUGUGAGCUGCCCGAGACACGAGCCCUGCCCGUUGUGAAUGUGUGGCCACCAGUCUUCAAUAUAUGUUUUGAAGGCCCAGUCUAUAGCCUGGACUGAACAUCAUUAGUGCUUCCCAAACCUUUCCCCAGGACUCAUCCCAACACCAAUGGGAAUAAACUUGUACCCUCUGGGACCUGGGGCCUUCAAGGUCUCACUCUAACCUUGUAAUUUUAUGAUAACUUGAUAUUCUCUCUAAAAUAUCCAUUUUUUGUCUUCAUAUAAAAUUAUUUUCCCAGACCUUCAGCUUGUGCAUUGUUUACCAGGUGAUGGCUUGUAGUGUCACUGGCACCCCUCUGCAUGACCUGGGAAGUCAUUCCUGUGCCCUGCUUGAGAAUCACAGUGUGAAGAUGUUGUCCAUAAAAUAUUACUGCCAACAUGAAAAUAUUGUAGUUGGGAGAGGUAACAUUAACUCCCUUUAAUAUGGAGUCUCUUAUCUGAUUCCCUUUUUUCACUCAGCAAAGAACAGCCCCCUGACUGAGAACGGGACAGAAGAUGAGGGGGUUUGAUGAUGGAAAGAAAAAAAACCAUUCAGAGCCACCUAAAAGGGAAGGUCUGGUCGGUCAGCCUGCUGGUCCAAGAUGGUAGCAAAUGGGAGUAGACAGGAUGGAGACGUUGGACAAGGAGGAAGAAACCAGAGCUUGGAUGAAAAAGUCCUUUGCCAAGACUAUUCAAGGCAAUGGGAUGAUGGCAGAUAAGACUGUGGAUAAGUACUCCUCCCAAGGGGUGAGUGCAGGAAGACACCAGGAGGGAGGCGGAGCCUCUGGAGAUCUUUCUGGAACCCAAACCACCCUAACUGGAGCCAGAAGGUCUGUCAAUUCCCAGAGAGCAGCAAGGAAAUGGUAAGUAAAUGGCAGCAGUUGCCUAGAGAAUUAGGGAAUGAAUAACAAUGCUUUCUGGUAAAUUAACCAUAUUACAUUGUGCACAGCAAAGUGAUGGAAGAACCUCGUUAAAAAUUGAAUAAUAAUUUUCCCACAUCAUUUAUGUAAAAUGCAUAAUUUUCCUACUUCAGUGGACUUUGGUUUGAUUUAAAAUAUGAACCGCUCUAGUACAGUUCACCAAAGCAUAAUUCGUGAGAUAAUUGGGAAGGGGAGGAGAAAUCAGGCUGUAAUCAGCACAAUCCUGUGUGAGCCACUUCACCUCCCUCCCGUCCCCUGCAAAUUUCGGAAAUUGUUUGUCGAUACGUUGAAGGUCUCUAUGUGAAAGUGUGAGGCAUCAAUCAUUGUCGUUGCUAUCACUAAACCAUGACCUCACCGUGUGCGAGAGGGGAAAGCAAGGCUUCCCUCUAGUCAGUAUUUUUCUGCUCUAAUUCAAAUAAGUACUUGUUUUUGAAUAGUAGGGAAAAUGGAAAUGUUGCCAUGCUUAAAACAGCAAGCCGAGAACAAAAGAAACGUGCAAGCAGCGGAAGGAGACCUUGGAAGAUGCGUAGAUAGAACAAAAAACUUCGCUUGGCCAGGAUUCUGUUUCAGAAUCAAAUGCAAAAUGAAGAACGUUGUUCCAACUAUAACGAUUUUGCCACCUACGAUCUCUGAAAUGAAAAGUCGUCACGGAAUCCACGUUGACAUUCAAAAGCUGUGCUCUUGCGAUGAGUGAUGGUGUUUGUCCGUGACUGAUGUAGGCUUCAGAACCAGAGCUGUCGGCGGUGGGGUGGAAUUCCACAGGUGAACCAGCCACCCUUCACUUCGACGCUGCCCUCCCGGGUCAGUCACUGUUGCUUUUCCUCGCUCUCCUCCUUCCCCCAUCCUUCACCCCUGCUCCCCACCCCCACGAGAACUAUAGAGUUUUCAUUAGAUAUUCAGUCAUUCUCUUCAUCCUCGUCUCUCCACAAAGGGCCAUUAUUUACUUACUAAAGUUAGCCCUUAGAUUUUUGACCUUUCAGGGCAAAUCUGUGGCUGAUUCUGUCUGCUUCUCUUUGUUGUCCUAAUCCUGCCUCCUCUGUAACCCUGCUGGCCCCACGAGGCUGAACCUUGAACCUCAUAAAUCUCCAUACUUCUCUCUCGGGUGCCCAUUUUGGUUGGCCAAAGGGGCCUUCCCAAGUCUUAAUACUCUUCCCCACUCUUUGCUUCUCUCCCUCCUACCCCUGCCACUAGCCUAAGAUUUAUCUGACACUAGGUUUUUCCCUAUGCCUCCUGCCACUAGCUAGAAAUUGCCUUUUUGCAAAUUGGAAAAAGCUAUCCUACCUCAAGACACUUUGCUGCCAUCAGCCAGAAAAUUAUUGUAAUAGAUAUGCCAAGAGAUGAUGUGAAUGGUGCCCCCUAGAAUUGUGCAGUACACAACUGGCACCGCGGUAUGAGACAACGCUGUAGUUGGAAACCACCUGAGUUACCUUGGAAGUCUGUAAAACUCAGAGCCACGGUAGGUCAGUCUUGCCUUUUUAUGACAGUUUGCAAUUUCAAAAUCUAAACCUUUGAGCCUUGAUCACAAAUUGCUGAGGGGCAGUUUCUGAAAGAGACAAAGAGCCCCCAGGCAGCAGUACUUAUAAGAGUAAAGGGCUCUUUAGUCAGCCCUAGAUUUGGCCUGCUGGCUGAGCGGAUGCAGCCCAAACCACACUGGGUAGAAUAGUAGGGGAAAUGGAAAUGUAGCAGAGCGCCAUUAGAAUCUCCUAAGUCUGAGUGUUGGGGGUACCGGGGAGCAGGGUACUUGUAUUAGGUCAACCAUGACUCCUCUUCAGCCUUGGCUGCUUUGUUUCUUGUUGCUUACCCCAUCUGUUCCCCUCCCCCCACCUCCUUCACAUUCCGCACAACCUGCACGUUCUGGUGAUCUUUUGCUGCAAAACAAGCCACCCCAAAAUUUAUUAGCGGAAACAGAAACAGACGUUUAUUUUACUCACAAGUCUGCGAUUUGGGCAUGGCUCCCAGGGGCCUCUCUGCUCCCCACGGUGUCACCAGGGCAACUCAGAUGUGGCUGGAGGAGCCACUUUCACCAUGGGGGCUCACGUGGCUGGUCAGUAGAUGCAAGCUGCCGCCCAGGAGCUCAGCUGGGGCUUGGGUUCCUCUGCACCUGGGCUCCCAGGUGGCCGUGUGGGCUUGCUCACAUGGCGGAGCCCAUGUCAAGCCACCAAGUGAACAACCCCAGCUGACUCUUCACGGAGCAGAGGAAAGCUGCCCCUACCAAGCCCUGCCCACUUUUCAAAUUUCUGAGUGAAAUAAAUGUCUAUGGUUUUAAGCCACUAAGUUUGGGAUGGUUCGUUUUGCAGCCAUGGAUCACCAGAAUGUACAGGCUGGGCUGAACGUGGUGUGAAUCCGUUCCCACAUUUCUCUAGGAUGCCUCCUGAUGCUGCAGAGUUGAGGAAGCUAAAAACUACAUUUCCCAGACUCCCUUCCCAUUAGGAUCAUGAGGAUCAAUUACGCUAUUACCAAUUAGACUUAUUUGCACAAAGUUCAGAAGGCAGAAGUGAGGUGGAAGCCAGUUUCUUACAGCUUUUGACUGUUUUCUGCUGGAAAGCAAGAUCAUGGAGCCACUGAUGCCCAGUCUCCAGCUUCACGGGUGUCAAGAGUCUGUUGUGGAGGUGGCAGUGGCUAGACACCACCUCCCAACAAGCAGGCAGACACAGUGGCGGCAGCAGUGGCACGCUCUUCUAGGCUUUCUGACCACUUUCUGACCAUUGUAUUGCAGCCACGGUGUUCUUAAGGGCAACAGUUCCCGUGGCAGCUUCUCAAGUCCCAUCUUCCUAAUUGUGGCAGAGGUGGCAGCUCUCGUGGCUGAUUGGUUCUGCUGCAUUCUGAGAGUCAUCCCCGGAGGACCAGCGUAAAGCCCUCUCUCCCAGCUCUUCCACCAAGUCUGUAAUUCCCCAUAUUAAACCUUUUUUUGCUUAAAAAACCUAGUAUGGUUUCUAUUUCCUACAUUGAACCUUGCAGCUGAUACUGGAUGAUCCCCUAAGUUCUGUCCCUUCUCAGCCAUCCUUUUGUUCUUGCUGCUUGUUUCUCGUUUAAUCGUUCCUUUAACAAAUAUUUAUGGAGGAUCUACUAUGUGCUAGGCACCAUGCUGGACCCUGGAGAAAAAUCUAUUAACUAAACAGACACGGCCCCACCCUCAUGGAAGGAGCCAGAACAAAGACCAAGAGACAGCCAACUACAGCCCUAGGACCAAAUCAACCCCCUGCUUGUUUUUGUAUAACAGUUUUCUUAGAACACAGCCGCACCCAUUCACUUACGUGUUGUCUUUGGCUGGUUUUUCCCCACCAUGGCAUAGUUGAGUGGUUGCAAGAGAGACAGUAUGACCCACAGAGCUGAAAAUACUUACUAUCUGGCCUUUUAUAGAAAAGUUUGCCAACUCCUGAAUUAGACAAAUAAAACUCCAAGUGACGCUCCUGUUGUCCCCCACAUCCAAUCGAGGGCUCUCUCUGCCAUUCUGCACACUCCACCUGCCAAGCUCCAAGCUCGGUUCUGAGCCCUUCAUGAGAAUCAUCUCACUUAAUUUUCACAAGCUUUGGGACAUCUUCUUACUACCUCUGUUUUACAGAGAAGGAAACUGAGAUUUAGAGAGACUUGGGCUUGAGUGACUGGGUAGAUGGUGAUAGCAUUAACAGAGAUAAAAUAGGUCUGUCCCCUUCCAGAGGAGACCAGAAAAGAAGCAGGAGAUGACGGAUUUGAUGUGGACUUGUGGCGCACGAGGCACCUGCAGACGUCCGUGAGAGGCUGUCCUGGCUGAUUUCCUGCUUGGUGUGGUGGAAAAGUGUGGAUUUCAAGUCUGGACCAAUUUUAGGUUCAAAUCCCAAUUCUCCCACUUCACCAGUGGUGUGAGUUUGGGUACGUGACUUCACGUCUCCAAGCCUCUUAGCUUCAGUUUCCUCAGAAGUAAAAUGGGCUCAUGUGAAGACAAAAUAAAGUGAUAUUCAUACGGCAUGCAGCAUAGUGCUUGGUACACGGUUGUCGUUUGAUCCGUGUGGGCAACCUCCCCUUCCUCUUCAGUCUGUUGCUCACAGGUUGGACAAUAAUCUAAAAGCACAGCUUUGACUGUGUUGUUCUCCUUCUCAAAAAAUGUGAUGGUUCCCACUGAGCCCCACUAGUGGAAGAAGACACAUUUGGAGGCCUGCCCAGCCCCCACCUCUUCUUUAAAUUCCCCCCAACACUACGCCCUCUGCUGAAGGUCACAUUCUUACCACGUGACCCUCCCCUCAACCAGAACAGGUGAAUGAUACCAGGGGCAGACACCUGACCAGGAGGAACCAAUCCAUUGACCAGCCCCUAGCUAAUAUUGUCUCCUUCAGGUUGGAACCAAGAAUCGAGAGGCUGUAGUGAUGGACACUUGGCCUACAGGUUAAUCUGAGUCAGGGCCAGAGUUGGCCCCAUGGGGGGGCAGAUGACACCGUCUGCAUGGAAGGAACCAGGACAAAGGGGGAACAGUAGCUGGAGAUCAUGGGCCGCGAGGGAAGGGGUGACUGGCAACAGCUGCUGUCCGUGCUCCUGUAUCUGGAGGUCCAGCUGUAUUUCCUGAGUGCCAUUUCUGUGAGAUUGCACGAACCCUUGCAGAAGACCAUCUCAUCACUUAAGCUAAUUCAAGAGUGUUUAGGCCACUGCAGUCCAGCUCAGCUGUUUUGCCAGCCUCAUCUCUCCAUCUCUCCCAUAACCCCACCCUAGAUCCUGGCUACACUGGAUUGCCUACAACUCCUCAAGCAUGCUCUGCACUGCUCCAGUCGUUUCCCCUGGCCUGGAAUGUUCUUUUGCCCUCUUUCCUCUUAACAGCCUCUCCAUCCUUUGAGGCCCAGCUCAAACAUCUGCUCCCUCCUGAAGCCUUCUCUGAUCCCACGGUCACAGUGAUAGCUCCCUCCUGAGAGGUCCCCACACUUGGCUUCUUGUCUCUCCACAGCAUUCGCCACCCACUCUUCCCUGAGUUUUCCUCUUUGUCUCUCUGCUCACUGAGGGUAGGAACUUGGCACACAUUAGGCUCUCGGAUAUUAUACUGAUUUUAAUCCAAGAGUUGGAAUCCUAAAAUACAAUCUGAGUUUCUUCAACACAGAAUAUCAUGCCAAUAUAAGGCGUUGUUCAUUAAAAUGGAAAUGCAUUUAGAGAAUGCUUCAGAUUAAAGGGAUGAAGAUCAAAGGGCACAUUUUUGGCCAAGAGUUCUGAGUCUUAGAGACCCAAAUAAAUUGUAGACAUUUAUUUCCUGAAUUGAUUGGAACCAUAACACUGGAUUUGGUGCUGUAAUAUAAAACUUUCUGAAACUUUUAGCCUG